UGACAAAGUCCUGAUCUCUGGCACAAAGAGGGAAAAUGCAAGCAAUUGUCAGCAAAAGCAAUUCAACUGUUUUCAUGCAAACUGUUUUCAGGGCUCCAUCUCACUGGAUGUCAUCCUGCAACCCGUGUGGCCCUGCCUGGUGAAAGCACAGCAUGGUCAGGAAGAAGGACCUACGUGGGAGCUGUCAGCCUCGCUGCUGUCCAGCAAAGUUCCAGCCAGAAGCCAAAAGCAGAGAGAUGUUACAUCUUGUUUAAUACUUGUCAUCCAUUAAAGAGCAC
This is a long non-coding RNA of Gallus gallus (chicken), 278 nucleotides long. Lineage: Eukaryota; Metazoa; Chordata; Aves; Galliformes; Phasianidae. The record is from Ensembl.